GAUGGGAGGGACAGACGGCAUCCUCUGAGCAGCCAGCUGGAGAUGAUCUAGAAGGAAAGCAGCUGGCACUAUCCACGGACAAAAGGGACUAAAGGGAGCAAGCCAAGAUCAGUGAUCAUCAUCAGUAAGAAUUCCCACCUGGGGAGAUCGUACCAACCUGGAAAGCUGUCCCAAAACUGGAAAAGCACCAGACCAGAAAUUAAAGAACAGGACGAAAGGACCAGACCAGGAGAUCAAGGGAGGUGACAGCUAUCAUGGAAGGUGAAAGAACUUGCCGAUACCCUGGAAUGCAGUAACUUGGGCCCAUUUACCUAUUCUGUCUUGUCUGUUAUUAUGUGUCUGGCUUAAAUGUGUGUCCAGGCAUUAUAACAAUAAUUCUGUCUGAAAUUGUAGAA
Long non-coding RNA from Malaclemys terrapin pileata, 395 nucleotides. RefSeq lists it as uncharacterized. The transcript is spliced from 3 exons. NCBI's taxonomy places the organism in Eukaryota, Metazoa, Chordata, Testudines, Emydidae. The record is from RefSeq and is a predicted model, not a curated record.